UGGCUUCCUCUCUGAUUUCAUUAAUGUUUUCUGUUUCUUGUUCCAUAUUCUGGGUGCUUAAUUCAAGAUCUUGAAUUGUAGGCUUUGGUAGGAUGUUAUCACCACAAACAACAAGACUAACCACGGUUUCUUCAGGAACAUUCCCUUGUAAAUCUUGAACCACUAGAACAGCAUCAUUAAUCCUGUGUUGGUAUUCAAGGGCAGACACGACAGUGCUUGGCGGAGUUUCUUGAAUUGGCGGUGGUGGACCUUGUGGUGGGGGAGGUAGGAUGUUGGUGGUUGCAAUAUUGGCACGGCAGAGGGGACAACUAGCAUGAGACGUGAGCCAAGGAUCAAUACAAGGGAGAUGAAAUGCGUGGUUACACUUAGGCAAUAACCUUAAGUUCUCAUUUUCUUGAAAUUCACUUAAACAAACAGAGCAAUCUGAGCUUUCAACGAACCCAUCACCUUUCUUGUAUUUGCA
RNAcentral lists this unclassified non-coding RNA (463 nucleotides) under Hevea brasiliensis (rubber tree). Lineage: Eukaryota; Viridiplantae; Streptophyta; Magnoliopsida; Malpighiales; Euphorbiaceae. The record is from RNAcentral.